GACCCCAGAGAUGGAUACAGAUGAACAAAAGGAACAUGACUUAAGAUCUGCUUUAAAGGAGAAGGAAACUGAAGCCUUGCAACAAAGGACUCAAGAGAUGGACACACAUGAACAAAAGCAACAUGAUUUAAGACCUGCUCUAAAAGAAACGGAAACUGAGGCUGAAGCUGAAGCCUUGC
This is a long non-coding RNA of Fundulus heteroclitus (mummichog), 179 nucleotides long. RefSeq lists it as uncharacterized. The transcript is spliced from 4 exons. The record is from RefSeq and is a predicted model, not a curated record. NCBI's taxonomy places the organism in Eukaryota, Metazoa, Chordata, Actinopteri, Cyprinodontiformes, Fundulidae.